RNAcentral lists this ribosomal RNA (796 nucleotides) under Methanosarcinales archaeon enrichment culture clone MTYC_10. RNAcentral's name for it is "bacterial SSU rRNA". It matches the Rfam family "Archaeal small subunit ribosomal RNA", at positions 85 to 879 of the family's 1478-position model. Lineage: Archaea; Methanobacteriati; Methanobacteriota; Methanomicrobia; Methanosarcinales. The record is from RNAcentral.
ACCGCUCAGUAACACGUGGAUAAUCUGCCCACAGGAUGGGGAUAAUCCUGGGAAACUGGGAAUAAUACCCAAUAGAUCAUUGGCACUGGAAUGUCCUUUGAUCCAAAUGCUUUUCUUACGCCUGUGGAUGAGUCUGCGUCCGAUUAGGCUGUUGUUGGGGUAACGGCCCAACAAACCUAUGAUCGGUACGGGUCGUGAGAGCGAUCGCCCGGAGAUUGGAUCUGAGAUAUGAUCCUAGGCCCUACGGGGUGCAGCAGGCGCGAAAACUUUACAAUGUGGGAAACCAUGAUAAGGGAAUUCCCAGUGUUCCUACAUAGUAGGAACUGUUUAGGUGCGUAAAAACACCUAAUAGAAAGGGCCGGGUAAGACCGGUGCCAGCCGCCGCGGUAAUACCGGUGGCUCGAGUGGUGGCCGCUAUUAUUGGGUCUAAAGGGUCCGUAGCCGGCUUGAUAAGUUACCUGGAAAAUCCGGUGGCCUAACCAUUGGGCGGCCAGGUGAUACUAUCAGGCUUGGGACUAGGAGAGACCAGAGGUACUCAUGAGGUAGGGGUGAAAUCCUGUAAUCUUAUGAGGACCACCAGUGGCGAAGGCGUCUGGUUAGAAUAGGUCCGACGGUGAUGGACGAAGGCUGGGGGCGCAAACCGGAUUAGAUACCCGGGUAGUCCCAGCAGUAAACGAUGCCAGCUAUGUGUUGCUGAAACCAUGGGUUUCAGCAGUGCCGAAGGGAAGCCGUGAAGCUGGCCACCUGGGAAGUACGGCCGCAAGGCUGAAACUUAAAGGAAUUGGCGGGGGAGCAC